RNAcentral lists this ribosomal RNA (514 nucleotides) under uncultured bacterium. RNAcentral describes it as "partial 16S ribosomal RNA". It matches the Rfam family "Bacterial small subunit ribosomal RNA", at positions 355 to 859 of the family's 1533-position model. The record is from RNAcentral.
UGGGGAAUAUUGCAGCAAUGGGCGCAAGCCUGAUGCAGCCAUGCCGCGUGUGUGAAGAAGGCCUUCGGGUUGUAAAGCACUUUCAGCAGAGGAGGAAGGUGGUGAACUUAAUACGUUCAUCAAUUGACGUUACUCGCAGAAGAAGCACCGGCUAACUCCGUGCCAGCAGCCGCGGUAAUACGGAGGGUGCAAGCGUUAAUCGGAAUUACUGGGCGUAAAGCGCACGCAGGCGGUUUGUUAAGUCAGAUGUGAAAUCCCCCGGGCUCAACCUGGGAACUGCAUUUGAAACUGGCAAGCUAGAGUCUCGUAGAGGGGGGUAGAAUUCCAGGUGUAGCGGUGAAAUGCGUAGAGAUCUGGAGGAAUACCGGUGGCGAAGGCGGCCCCCUGGACGAAGACUGACGCUCAGGUGCGAAAGCGUGGGAGCAAACAGGAUUAGAUACCCUGGUAGUCCACGCUGUAAACGAUGUCGAUUUGGAGGUUGUGCCCUUGAGGCGUGGCUUCCGGAGCUAACGCG